RNAcentral lists this unclassified non-coding RNA (2220 nucleotides) under Hevea brasiliensis (rubber tree). The record is from RNAcentral. Lineage: Eukaryota; Viridiplantae; Streptophyta; Magnoliopsida; Malpighiales; Euphorbiaceae.
UGUUGACCUCAUUGAGCCGUCUAAACCCAAUAUUUCCCUCUUAAACCACUGCGGCAACAGGUAGGGCUUUUACGUGCAUCUUUCUCUCUCAUAACAAAGACAGAAAUGGCGAAAACAAAGAGCGUGGAGAAUGCAGAGAAGUUGGUGGAGAAAAACAUGAAAGGAAACGAUGCCUCUCAUGAUGCAUCGCACGUGUCGAGGGUCAGGGAUCUUGCUCUCUCCCUCGCCCGUGAGGAAGGCUUAUCUUCUAACCCCGAUUCCAUGGAAAUCGUAGAGCUUGCUGCACUUCUUCAUGAUAUAGGUCAUUCUCUGUCCUGUGCUUACUUGCAGAAAUGCACAAGUUCAUAUCCAGGAAGUUAAAAAUUGUAUGAUUGUAUUUGUACAUUUUGCACAUGUUUUUCAUUAGUAUGAGGAAUUUGGAUGGUGACCUAGGCCUUCAAAAAUGGAUUUUAUGUGGACUUAUCGGUUAUAGAGGGUGAACUGUGAUCUCAAAGUUAAUAUGCUCCAGUGCAUAUUUUUUCAUUUCGUUGGUAAAUUAUUUGCCUAUUUAUUUGUGCUUUUGGUAUCUUUGGGUGCAAUUUUCUAGUAUUACAUUUCAAAUCUAACCGUAUCAUUACUUUCUCAUAGACUUUAGUUAAUCCUAGAAUGAGCAUGGAUGAUUAUAGAAGCAAACUUAUAAUGUUUUUUUUUUUCUCUUUGGUUGAUUUUAAUUAUAUCCUCUCUAUAUUUGUGCUUUUUAUUGUUUUAUGUUAUUUGUUGGUAUUUUUGCUCUAUUGAUCAUUUUUCUUUUUUCAAACUUAUUGCAGGUGACUAUAAAUACUUGAGGUUUGUAGUUCCCUUCUUACUUAACUUGAGGAAGCAAUUCCUAUUUGUCUUUUAUAUAUUUAUACUUUUUUCUAUUGUCUGUAAGUGUUGUGCUAGGCAUCUAAUUUGCAUUGCCUCUUGCUUCUAACAAAACUGUACCCAAAAUAUCUGUUGUGCUUUUAUGUUUUUACAGAUACUGAACAAAUCCUUUAUAUUGUUUGCACAAUCUCAUAAUUGUGCUCAUGAAGUUAAUCUUGUUGGCAUUUAUAUAAAUAUACCUGUGGUCAAUCGUAAUAAUGGGCCAGUCUAUAUAAUUACUAGUGUAUGGAUGCAUAUGUACCAUUUAAUUUUGUUCACGCAAGUUUCUAAUCUCCUGCUAUCAGCAAAUCAAAUCCAAUCAAUUGCAUUAGCAACAGAGUUCAAUGCUGCUUUUUACAUCCAAAACUAAAAAAAUUAAGUUAAUAGUAAUUUGACAGACUUUUAUCUAUCUGUUUUCUUUUCAUCUUUUGAAAGGGCUUAUAUUCUUGAAUUUACUCUUUCUAAUUUCCUGAAUGUUUGAGCUUCUAUUUUGACAUCUAGAGAUCAAUCUGAAGAGCAAAUUGUUGAGAAAUUUCUGGAGGAAGAGGGUGUGGAUGAAAUAAAGAAGAUGAAGAUCUUAGCAAUCAUCAAGGGGAUGGGUAAAUUACUCUGAUUUACUGUAGUUCUGUGUCAAAUUCUAAUUUGAGUUUAUGAUAGAGUUAGCAAUUGCGGAAUGACUUCAGUAGGGAUGAAAUGGAAAUUAUGGCAAUACAGAUCACUAAUAAACACCCUUCUCUAGAAUUAUGAAUACCACACCAGAACUAUCACUAUAAAGGUCAAAAAACAAUAAAAUGAGGAAAUUAAACCAAGAGAUGCUUCUGUGCAGACUUCAGUCUCUGCCCCAAACAAUCACCUGUUACUCAACAAUAAUUCACCUCCUGCCUUUUUCAUUUUCCCUGCUCCUUGUAGACGUCUCCAAUGCUUUUGCAUUGCAAUUUCUAGGUGGUGUAGUUUCCACAAAUUCUCUAACAAAUUCAACUCCUUCCCAGUGCAGCCUUUCAGCCAUUGUUAUAAAAAACUGGACCAGCGCCAGGUGGGUUGACCAAGUGAAUCAUUGACCCAUACACAAGACCAGGCCAGUUCUUUAGUUGAACCGGACAAGUAUAUAACUUGGAAAAAAUUAGGUGAUCUGGUGGUUGAACCAGCAACUCGUGUGAACCAAUGAUCCAAUGACCUGGCUAAUUUAUUUUUUAAAUGAAAAUUUUUUGAAAUAUCAAUGAUAUUGUCAUUCUAAUAUUUAAAAAUUUAAAUUGAUAUCGAGUUAAUAGAUAAGAAGUUAUUUAGCUAUUAUCUUUCCAUUUAUAGUAAUGCAAUAAAUUUUAUAAAAUGAUAUGUUUA